CCCUUAGAUGUUCUGGGCCGCACGCGCGCUACACUGAUGCAUUCAACGAGUCUAAAACCUGCUCUGAUAGGGGUGGGUAAUCUUUUGAAUGUGCAUCGUGAUUGGGAUAGAUGAUUGCAAUUUUUCAUCUUCAACGAGGAAUGCCUAGUAAACGCGAGUCAUCAGCUUGCAUUGAUUACGUCCCUGCCCUUUGUACACACCGCCCGUCGCUCCUACCGAUUGAAUGAUCCGAUGAAUAUCAUGGAUUGAGGAUUAUAGCAGGUUCGCCUGUCUUGAUCUUCGAGAAGUGAAGUAAAUCUUAUCAUUUAGAGGAAGGAGAAGUCGUAACA
RNAcentral lists this ribosomal RNA (329 nucleotides) under uncultured eukaryote. Its description in RNAcentral is "partial 18S ribosomal RNA". It matches the Rfam family "Eukaryotic small subunit ribosomal RNA", at positions 1470 to 1796 of the family's 1831-position model. The record is from RNAcentral.